GUCCACGCUGUAAACGAUGGGCACUAGGUGUCCGGGGUAUUGACCCCCUGGGUGCCGCAGCUAACGCAUUAAGUGCCCCGCCUGGGGAGUACGGUCGCAAGAUUAAAACUCAAAGGAAUUGACGGGGGCCCGCACAAGCGGUGGAGCAUGUGGUUCAAUUCGACGCAACGUGAAGAACCUUACCUGGGCUAGACAACGGUGGACCGUCCUAGAAAUAGGACUUUCCCUUCGGGGACUGCCGGUUCAGGUGCUGCAUGGCUGUCGU
Molecule: ribosomal RNA, 265 nt
Filed under: uncultured bacterium
Lineage: Bacteria
Description: partial 16S ribosomal RNA
Rfam family: Bacterial small subunit ribosomal RNA
Source: RNAcentral